Long non-coding RNA from Salvia miltiorrhiza (redroot sage), 780 nucleotides. RefSeq lists it as uncharacterized. NCBI's taxonomy places the organism in Eukaryota, Viridiplantae, Streptophyta, Magnoliopsida, Lamiales, Lamiaceae. The transcript is spliced from 3 exons. The record is from RefSeq and is a predicted model, not a curated record.
UGGAACGUUAUUUUUUUUUCUCUCUCUAUUCCCUCUCUCUGCCGCCCCCUCUGACCUUUUUCACCUCCGGCGAUUUCACCGUUCAUCUUCACCACCGGCACGGCGAACACUGCUGGUUGCUGUCCUCUCGAUCCACUCCCAAUCUCUGAAUCACAAUUAAAAUCCCUAAUUUCAUCUAGGGUUUUCAGCCUCUCGAAUUUUCCAACCUUCCGACGAGCAUCACCGUCGCCGUCGUCGCCGCGUCUUCACCCCGCCUGAGCCGCGACGCAGCUGCAGGUACUUCCCCCUUUCUCUCUCCAUGGCGGCUGUUGCGGAUUGCUGCUGCACAUGCAGCGCCCGCGACCGCGCCUUCGCUGUGGCGUGUGGCCGCUGCUGCCCUCUCUUAUUUCUCUCUUAUAGUUGGCUAACUGCCGGACGAGCUAGGGCUGCUGACCGAUCUGCAGUCUUCCACAUAAACUCCAACAGAUUCUACAGCCUUGUUUCUGAAUACCUUCAAAAAAUUGAAGUUGCUUUUCGAGCUGGAUUUGAUCAACAAUCGUUUCGUCGGGAUGUCUUCCUACACUUGCCACUAUCCCCAUAAAUAUUGGGUUUUACAGAGCUCUUUCUAAUACAGCAGAUGAGGUUUAAACAAAGAGAGGAAGAGAUGAGGAAAGCUGAGGAGGCGGCAACUAAUGGGCAUCAGAUUACAAAUUGCUGUGAACGGUAAUGAAGUAAACUCAGAAUUGAAGGAUAAUGAGAGGUCAUCUGCUGCUAGGGAAGAAACUCGUGAUAAGAGUGAUG